Zootermopsis nevadensis is the source of this 580-nucleotide non-coding RNA. Lineage: Eukaryota; Metazoa; Arthropoda; Insecta; Blattodea; Termopsidae. The record is from RefSeq and is a predicted model, not a curated record.
ACAUGCAAAAGUGAUAGACGUGUACUUACUUAUAACUGGGUUAAUUCGCUUGUAAUUAGGAUAUAAGACAACACAGAGUGCGAAGUUACUUAUCCUGUGCUUUAUUGUGAUCAGUGAAAUACGAAACCUCGUGUGAAUACAAACUGAUAACAGCGAAACAUUCGCUUUGUGCAGGUAAAUACAAACGCGGCGUGCUGGUUGCUGUGUGCCGUUACACCUUGCAAAUGGCUGCAGAGAUUACACACAUAGGAGGCUUUCUACGCUGCUAGCGAUGCCCGAUAAUUACGGAGCGCUGCAGUUGUUCACAGCCAUGGCGUGAAGAAGGCGCUCAGGGCUACGACUGACUACAACAAGGCGAGUGCACGAACAACUUCGGAUGUCGUGACGUGCAGAAUGGCUUCUUCCAAACCAGAUCUGCAGACCUCUGCUUCUCUCGUCCCUUCGUAAUGUAAGUACUAAAACUGUCUUUCACGCAAUCAAAUAAUAGUGGUAGUGUUCGUCUGGAACCUACAGCAGCUGAAGAAUUGCUUGUUUUAUUUUCGGUUGGUGGCUGGAACCGAAAUGAAUUUUUGAGGAAAGA